AGGAUGACGACAAGGACAAGUCCCUGGUCGAGAAAACAGCAGGGAGCAACAUGAUUCACGGUCUAGAUUAGAACAACACUGAACUGAUAUAUUUUUUGUAGUACAGGAGCUUCAAGACAAAGGGCAUCAGGCUUCACGGCAACACAUUUAUCUAUAACUUUCUCCCCAAAUCUGAAAGUAUUUGGCCCCUAAAUUCUAAUUCUCAUUAGAAAGUCAGAGUAUUUGUGGAAUAUGGUCUAUGAAUAUUGACAAAUUUGAUUGCAGCAGGGGCGACAAAGUUAGUGCAGUCCUCACCGUGCACAUAUAUUUCAGGGUAAAAUCAAACUUCAGUUAGAAGGACAUGAUCAGGCAGGAGAUUCAUGCAGCAUUGGAUGUGAGAGGCCCUAAGUGCAUUUAGCAUGUGAAAAGAUGUGUUUAGUAUUGUUCCAAGUUGUUACCUUUCGAAAAGAGAACGCAUCAAGGAUAAUUUUUUCUUCGAAGCACGAGUUAACCACAAGGAAUCUCCAUGCUUUUGCACCGGGCAGACCUCAAGGAACCUCUGCCGAAGAUUUACAUGGUGAAGGACUCGAACUGUAUCUCACGUCCACUUGGCCACACCUGGGUUGGCUGCCAACAGCCCUCUGAUUGAACAACUGCUCCGUCUAUCCGAGUCUCUGUCGGUCGGCUGUUCUUCUCGGACAUCACCAUACAGCUCCUCAGCAGCAAACUCAUGUGCUUCUCCACCAGAAUCAAUUCCCGAGCUGUUGAUAUCCCCUAUUCCUCUAAGGAUAUGCCCAUGGUAAUUUUUUCCACAAGACGAGUGUUGCAGUAUUUGUAUGAACUGGAGUACUGUACUGUUGCAGUAGUGUACAACUAUACAUACAUGGUUUGAAAAUCCUUUCUUUUUCAGUUAUAUAUUAGAAUGGAAUUUGUACGGCUUGGACUGCAUUUUCACAAUCAAUAUGGUGUGUUCAAGUAGUGUAAAUUGUUUAACUUGCUUUUUGGCCAGUAUCCCGAUAUAUGUGGAUGUAUCGUUGCUUUUUACAAUCAAUUUGUAAUGUUGCUUAAUGUACCGUUUGGUCUGCUUUUUUGGUCUG
Long non-coding RNA from Triticum aestivum (bread wheat), 1076 nucleotides. RefSeq lists it as uncharacterized. The record is from RefSeq and is a predicted model, not a curated record. Lineage: Eukaryota; Viridiplantae; Streptophyta; Magnoliopsida; Poales; Poaceae. The transcript has 2 exons.